AGUGGCGAAAGGGGCAGUAAGGCGUGGGUAACCUACCCCGGGGAUGGGCAUAGCCGUUCUAACGGACGGGUAAUUCCCAGCGAUCCGUCGAGGGGACAUCUUCUUGACGGGAAAUGAGUUUCGCCUCGGGAGGGGCUCACGUGCUAUUAGCUUGUUGGCGGGGUAACGGCCCACCAAGGCAAAGAUGGCUAGCGGGUGUGAGAGCACGACCCGCGCCACUGGCACUGAGACACUGGCCAGACACCUACGGGUGGCUGCAGUCGAGGAUCUUCGUCAAUGGGCGCAAGCCUGAACGAGCGACGCCGCGUGUGCGAUGAAGGCCUUCGGGUUGUAAAGCACUGUCGAGGGGGAUCAAGGCGCAAGCUUGAUUGAUCCCUGGAGGAAGCACGGACUAAGUUCGUGCCAGCAGCCGCGGUAAGACGAACCGUGCGAACGUUGUUCGGAAUCACUGGGCUUAAAGGGCGCGUAGGCGGCAGGCGAGGUCGGGGGUGAAAUCCCACAGCUUAACUGUGGAAGAGCCUUCGA
This 525-nucleotide ribosomal RNA is filed under the name uncultured bacterium. RNAcentral's name for it is "bacterial SSU rRNA". It matches the Rfam family "Bacterial small subunit ribosomal RNA", at positions 94 to 630 of the family's 1533-position model. The record is from RNAcentral.